UGAGCAAUCUGCCCUUCUCAUCGGAAUAAGCGUUGGAAACGACGUCUAAUGCCGAAUACGACCUCCGGGGUUUCNCAUGAUCGGAGGUGGAAAGCUCCGGCGGAGAAGGAUGAGCUCGCGGCCUAUCAGCUUAUUGGUGAGGUAAUGGCUCACCAAGGCGACGACGGGUAGCCGGCCUGAGAGGGUGACCGGCCACACGUGGGACUGAGACACGGCCAGACUCCGUAGGAGG
This 232-nucleotide ribosomal RNA is filed under the name uncultured bacterium. RNAcentral describes it as "partial 16S ribosomal RNA". It matches the Rfam family "Bacterial small subunit ribosomal RNA", at positions 118 to 348 of the family's 1533-position model. The record is from RNAcentral.